UCAUUGGGUGGCUGAAAGUAAGCAUUGGUCUCUUAAACCAAAAUAUAGUAAAGUAACGGAAUACUUCCAAUGAA
This 74-nucleotide transfer RNA is filed under the name Libellula angelina. RNAcentral describes it as "tRNA-Lys". The record is from RNAcentral. Lineage: Eukaryota; Metazoa; Arthropoda; Insecta; Odonata; Libellulidae.